GCAAUAGAGACUAUGGCUUGGACCUGCGUUCAAAAUUAAGCUUCUCACUCAUUUUCUGCAAAACUGGACCAGCCACCCCAAAUUGCCCGUGCCCUCUGCACAGGAACAGAGCCUGCCCAAGUAGAUGUCGGUUUGGAGGCAGAGAAAUGGCAGGAGAAGAAAGAAAAUUCCAGUGUUUUCACUCAGUGAGAGAAGUAAGGAUCUUAUCCAGGAUACUACAUUGUAUUCAGUCCUGUGUCUCCUUAGGCUCCUCUUCACGGUGACAGUUCCUCAGGUAACAUUUGGCAUCUGUUGCUGAUACAUUCUAUAACUGGAGGAAGUUACGUGGAAGAGACAAAUCUUUUUUGAAAUAGGAUAAGGAGGAGCCCCUUUGUGAAAGCAAUAUUACAGCAUCUUUAAAAAUAGCAUUUUGAACUGAGAGAAGAGGACAAAACACCACUGUGGGAUGGUGAUUUGGCUAUAAAAAUCUUCUUUG
Molecule: long non-coding RNA, 475 nt
Organism: Prionailurus viverrinus (fishing cat)
Lineage: Eukaryota; Metazoa; Chordata; Mammalia; Carnivora; Felidae
Exons: 4
Source: RefSeq, a predicted model, not a curated record